Molecule: long non-coding RNA, 357 nt
Organism: Mugil cephalus (flathead mullet)
Lineage: Eukaryota; Metazoa; Chordata; Actinopteri; Mugiliformes; Mugilidae
Exons: 2
Source: RefSeq, a predicted model, not a curated record
AGGGUGGAGAGAGGCAGGCGAAGAGGGGCACCAUGGGACAGCAAUUCAGUCAGUGGGCUUGAGGUUCAAGGAAUGUGGCCAUGAAUGUCAGCGGAUCCCACCACGGGGAAAAAUGAUGGUUGAGUGUUUUCAGCGUUUGGGAGCGCUUGAAUCAUCUCUCUAGGCAGCGGUGGAGCAGGUGUAAAGAGCCUGGUGUUACUCACCUGUCAUACUGGAUGUUCGUCAGAAGGAGGCGUAGCUCUUCCAGGUUCAGAGAAGACGGGGGGGAUGCAGAGGCGCUGCAGCCCGGAACGGAGCUUCCACCGGGGGCUUGGAAAAGUCAGGAAAUCCCCUGGAUUGUCUUUGGCCUACUGAAGU